Molecule: ribosomal RNA, 894 nt
Filed under: Ceratobasidium sp. AG-Q
Lineage: Eukaryota; Fungi; Basidiomycota; Agaricomycetes; Cantharellales; Ceratobasidiaceae
Description: eukaryotic LSU rRNA
Rfam family: Eukaryotic large subunit ribosomal RNA
Source: RNAcentral
AGCAUACAAUAAGCGGAGGAAAAGAAACUAACAAGGAUUCCCCUAGUAACGGCGAGUGAAGCGGAAGAGCUCAAAUUUAAAAUCUGGCGGUGUAUUCCGUCCGAGUUGUAGUCUAGAGAAGCAUCAUCCGCGCCGGACCAUGUACAAGUCUCUUGGAACAGAGCGUCAUAGAGGGUGAGAAUCCCGUCCUUGCACUGGACUCCCGGUGCUUUGCGUUGUGCUCUCAACGAGUCGAGUUGUUUGGGAAUGCAGCUCAAAAUGGGUGGUAAAUUCCAUCUAAAGCUAAAUAUUGGCGAGAGACCGAUAGCGAACAAGUACCGUGAGGGAAAGAUGAAAAGCACUUUGGAGAGAGAGUUAAACAGUACGUGAAAUUGUUGAAAUGGAAACGCUUGAAGUCAGUCGCGUUCUCUGGGAUUCAGCCUUGCUUCUGCUUGGUGCAUUUCCUAGUCUACGGGCCAGCAUGAAUUUCGACCGAUAGAAAAGGGCUGGGGGAAUGUGGCACUUCGGGUGUGUUAUAGCCCCUUGUCGCAUGCGUCGGUUGGGAUCGAGGACCUCAGUGCACGCUUCGGUUGUGCUUUGAUGCUGGCGUAAUGGCUUUAAACGACCCGUCUUGAAACACGGACCAAGUAGUCUAACAUGCUGCUGCGAUGUUUGGGUGAAAACCCGACGCGGAAUGAAAGUGAUUGUUGGGAACUCUCGCGAGGGGCACCGACGCCCGGACCAGACCUUCUGUGACGGAUCCGAGGUAGAGCAUAUAUGUUGGGACCCGAAAGAUGGUGAACUAUGCCUGCAUAGGGUGAAGCCAGAGGAAACUCUGGUGGAGGCUCGUAGCGAUUCUGACGUGCAAAUCGAUCGUCAAAUGUGGGUAUAGGGGNGAAAGACUAAUCGCNCCAU